UACAGAGGUCUCAACCGUUGUUCGGAUUCAUUGGGCGUAAAGCGUGCGCAGGCGGUUUUGUAAGUCUGUCGUGAAAUCCCCGGGCUCAACCUGGGAAUUGCGAUGGAGACUGCAAGGCUAGAAUCUGGCAGAGGGGGGUAGAAUUCCACGUGUAGCAGUGAAAUGCGUAGAGAUGUGGAGGAACACCGAUGGCGAAGGCAGCCCCCCUGGGUCAAGAUUGACGCUCAUGCACGAAAGCGUGGGGAGCAAACAGG
This 254-nucleotide ribosomal RNA is filed under the name uncultured bacterium. RNAcentral's name for it is "partial 16S ribosomal RNA". It matches the Rfam family "Bacterial small subunit ribosomal RNA", at positions 524 to 776 of the family's 1533-position model. The record is from RNAcentral.